RNAcentral lists this ribosomal RNA (1819 nucleotides) under Xenostigmus bifasciatus. RNAcentral's name for it is "SSU rRNA". It matches the Rfam family "Eukaryotic small subunit ribosomal RNA". Lineage: Eukaryota; Metazoa; Arthropoda; Insecta; Hymenoptera; Braconidae. The record is from RNAcentral.
AGAUCGUACCCACAUUUACUUGGAUAACUGUGGUAAUUCUAGAGCUAAUACAUGCAAACUAGAAUUCCAACCAGAGAUGGAAGGAAUGCUUUUAUUAGAUCAAAACCAAUCGGUGGUAUAUGUAAAAAUAUAUCCAUCGUUAAUUUUGAUGACUCUGAAUAACUUUGUGCUGAUCGCAUGGUCUUUGUACCGGCGACGAAUCUUUCAAAUGUCUGCCUUAUCAACUGUCGAUGGUAGGUUCUGCGCCUACCAUGGUUGUUACGGGUAACGGGGAAUCAGGGUUCGAUUCCGGAGAAGGGAGCCUGAGAAACGGCUACCACAUCCAAGGAAGGCAGCAGGCGCGCAAAUUACCCACUCCCAGCACGGGGAGGUAGUGACAAAAAAUAACGAUACGGGACUCAUCCGAGGCCCCGUAAUCGGAAUGAGUACACUUUAAAUCCUUUAACAAGGAACAAUUGGAGGGCAAGUCUGGUGCCAGCAGCCGCGGUAAUUCCAGCUCCAAUAGCGUAUAUUAAAGUUGUUGCGGUUAAAAAGCUCGUAGUUGAAUCUGUGUGCCACGCUGUUGGUUCACCGCUCGCGGUGUUUAACUGACAUGAUUGUGGGACGUCCUACCGGUGGAUUUAGCUAUAUUUUUAUAUUUUUAUUUUUUUUCUCUUUUGGGAGAUUAAUUAUAUUAUAUAUAAUUUUAUAGCGAUCCAACUAAUAUCCUGUCACGGUGCUCUUUAUUGAGUGUCGAGAUGGGCCGGUACGUUUACUUUGAACAAAUUAGAGUGCUUAAAGCAGGCUAAAUUUUGCCUGAAUACUGUGUGCAUGGAAUAAUAGAAUAGGACCUCGGUUCUAUUUUGUUGGUUUUCGGAACCCCGAGGUAAUGAUUAAUAGGGACAGAUGGGGGCAUUCGUAUUGCGACGUUAGAGGUGAAAUUCUUGGAUCGUCGCAAGACGAACAGAAGCGAAAGCAUUUGCCAAAAAUGUUUUCAUUAAUCAAGAACGAAAGUUAGAGGUUCGAAGGCGAUCAGAUACCGCCCUAGUUCUAACCAUAAACGAUGCCAGCUAGCGAUCCGCCGAAGUUCCUCCGAUGACUCGGCGGGCAGCUUCCGGGAAACCAAAGCUUUUGGGUUCCGGGGGAAGUAUGGUUGCAAAGCUGAAACUUAAAGGAAUUGACGGAAGGGCACCACCAGGAGUGGAGCCUGCGGCUUAAUUUGACUCAACACGGGAAACCUCACCAGGCCCGGACACCGGAAGGAUUGACAGAUUGAUAGCUCUUUCUUGAUUCGGUGGGUGGUGGUGCAUGGCCGUUCUUAGUUGGUGGAGCGAUUUGUCUGGUUAAUUCCGAUAACGAACGAGACUCUAGCCUGCUAAAUAGGCGUAUUUCUGGUAUCUUGAAGAUUAUAUAUUUUUUGGUAACAAUUUAUAUAUAAUUUUUACUACCGACGUACAAUAAAAUCUUCUUAGAGGGACAGGCGGUUCUAGCCGCACGAGAUUGAGCAAUAACAGGUCUGUGAUGCCCUUAGAUGUUCUGGGCCGCACGCGCGCUACACUGAAGGAAUCAGCGUGUCUUCCCUGGCCGAAAGGCCCGGGUAACCCGCUGAACCUCCUUCGUGCUAGGGAUUGGGGCUUGCAAUUAUUCCCCAUGAACGAGGAAUUCCCAGUAAGCGCAAGUCAUAAGCUUGCGUUGAUUACGUCCCUGCCCUUUGUACACACCGCCCGUCGCUACUACCGAUUGAAUGAUUUAGUGAGGUCUUCGGACUGGUGCGCGGCAAUGUUUCGGCAUUGCCGAUGUUGCUGGGAAGAUGACCAAACUUGAUCAUUUAGAGGAAGUA